RNAcentral lists this long non-coding RNA (461 nucleotides) under Numida meleagris (helmeted guineafowl). RNAcentral's name for it is "lncRNA (ENSNMEG00000000145.1)". Lineage: Eukaryota; Metazoa; Chordata; Aves; Galliformes; Numididae. The record is from RNAcentral.
UGACAGUCUAGGCAUUAAUCAUGGUGCCUUAUAUUAAUCUAGUACGAAAGUCACCACCUUUAGAAACUUUCAUUUAUCAUACUUCCCUGUGUAAGCAAAUCACAAGGGAUUUGCAGUAGUUCCAUCAUUCCAAGGCUAGGAUUUUACUACAAAUACAGUAAUGAACAUUUCAAGCCUUGGACAGCCUGAUUUUAAAAGCAAUGGCUGUAUACUACUACUUGAGAUUUCAGUGUGCUUUGAUACAGAGAGUAGCAGCCAUUCUUUCCUUGAUAAAUACGUGCUAGAGACAGGGGAAGAAGUUUCAUCUGGGAAGAGGGGGAUAGCAUACAUGUCAUUAAACCUGGCCACAGGUUUUUCCAUACCUGUUGUGGCUGCCACCAUUUUUCAUCUUGUUUUUCACUCCUCCAUCUGCCAGGAAUGAGGAGAUCAGCAGGAGGAGAUCAGCUGAAGGAGAUGGAGAA